UACGUAGGUGGCAAGCGUUGUCCGGAUUUACUGGGCGUAAAGAGCGCGCAGGCGGUCGCUCAAGUCGCGUGUGAAAGCCCCCGGCUCAACUGGGGAGGGUCACGCGAUACUGAUCGACUGGAAGGCAGGAGAGGGUAGUGGAAUUCCCGGUGUAGUGGUGAAAUGAGUAGAUAUCCGGAGGAACACCAGCGGCGAAGGCGGCAUCCUGGACUGGUCCUGACACUCAUGAGCGAAAGCGUGGGGAGCGAUCCGG
RNAcentral lists this ribosomal RNA (253 nucleotides) under uncultured bacterium. RNAcentral describes it as "partial 16S ribosomal RNA". It matches the Rfam family "Bacterial small subunit ribosomal RNA", at positions 524 to 776 of the family's 1533-position model. The record is from RNAcentral.